CUGCGCUCAGGCCCACUUUCUAGCGAAGUCUAAUGGCCUGCUCACGCCUGCUGCGUUGGAAUGAGCUAGCACUGCUGCCCGCUGCUUUAAAGAACAAAGCUGAGCAAGAUGUUCCAGGGAAGGAUCCAGAGCAAUCUGUGUCACCUCGUGACGCGGGCAAGACAGGAGGACUUCAAAAUGGAGAAGGUGCUCUUCCCUUCCCCCGUUAAAUUAAAAGUGUUGUGGCAAUAAAAGACAUCAAGGCUGGA
Long non-coding RNA from Pygoscelis adeliae (Adelie penguin), 248 nucleotides. RefSeq lists it as uncharacterized. The record is from RefSeq and is a predicted model, not a curated record. The transcript is spliced from 2 exons. NCBI's taxonomy places the organism in Eukaryota, Metazoa, Chordata, Aves, Sphenisciformes, Spheniscidae.